This 360-nucleotide unclassified non-coding RNA is filed under the name uncultured fungus. RNAcentral's name for it is "sequence contains ITS1". The stretch from base 1 to 105 matches the Rfam family "5.8S ribosomal RNA", at positions 50 to 154 of the family's 154-position model. Lineage: Eukaryota; Fungi. The record is from RNAcentral.
GAAGUGCGAUAAGCAAUGCGAAUUGCAGAAUUCCGCGAAUCAUCAGAUCUUUGAACGCAAAUGGCGCUGGAGGGAUAUCCUUCCAGCAUGUCUGUUUCAGUGUCUGAGAGGUUUCAUAUAAAUCUUAAUGUGAUUGAAGGGAUAGUGAAAUGUUUGUGCAAACUUUCAUCUCGUCUCAUCUCUUCUCUCAUGAAAGAUGCGUGAGUGGAUCUUUCGGUCCAAUGAAGUGGUCACAUCACUCGCAUGUGAUUUCAUUGGAGAAAUCACCGAAUUAUCCGUAUACUCACUGUAUCAUAUAUAUAUAACAAAAAACUUCCAUACCCUGCAUCUGAGAUAGGCAAGAUCACCCGCUGAACUUAA